UGGGGAAUAUUGCACAAUGGGCGCAAGCCUGAUGCAGCCAUGCCGCGUGUAUGAAGAAGGCCUUCGGGUUGUAAAGUACUUUCAGUGGGGAGGAAGGCGAUAAGGUUAAUAACCUUGUCGAUUGACGUUACCCGCAGAAGAAGCACCGGCUAACUCCGUGCCAGCAGCCGCGGUAAUACGGAGGGUGCAAGCGUUAAUCGGCAUUACUGGGCGUAAAGCGCACGCAGGCGGUCUGUCAAGUCGGAUGUGAAAUCCCCGGGCUCAACCUGGGAACUGCAUUCGAAACUGGCAGGCUAGAGUCUUGUAGAGGGGGGUAGAAUUCCAGGUGUAGCGGUGAAAUGCGUAGAGAUCUGGAGGAAUACCGGUGGCGAAGGCGGCCCCCUGGACAAAGACUGACGCUCAGGUGCGAAAGCGUGGGGAGCAAACA
RNAcentral lists this ribosomal RNA (427 nucleotides) under uncultured bacterium. RNAcentral's name for it is "partial 16S ribosomal RNA". It matches the Rfam family "Bacterial small subunit ribosomal RNA", at positions 355 to 774 of the family's 1533-position model. The record is from RNAcentral.